GAUGAGCAUGCGUCCCAUUAGCUAGUUGGUAAGGUAACGGCUUACCAAGGCUACGAUGGGUAGGGGUCCUGAGAGGGAGAUCCCCCACACUGGUACUGAGACACGGACCAGACUCCUACGGGAGGCAGCAGUGAGGAAUAUUGGACAAUGGGCGCAAGCCUGAUCCAGCCAUGCCGCGUGCAGGAUGACGGUCCUAUGGAUUGUAAACUGCUUUUAUACGAGAAGAAACACUCCUUCGUGAAGGAGCUUGACGGUAUCGUAAGAAUAAGGAUCGGCUAACUCCGUGCCAGCAGCCGCGGUAAUACGGAGGAUCCAAGCGUUAUCCGGAAUCAUUGGGUUUAAAGGGUCCGUAGGCGGUUUAAUAAGUCAGUGGUGAAAGCCCAUCGCUCAACGGUGGAACGGCCAUUGAUACUGUUAGACUUGAAUUAUUAGGAAGUAACUAGAAUAUGUAGUGUAGCGG
Molecule: ribosomal RNA, 460 nt
Filed under: uncultured bacterium
Lineage: Bacteria
Description: bacterial SSU rRNA
Rfam family: Bacterial small subunit ribosomal RNA
Source: RNAcentral